GAUGAACGCUGGCGGCGUGCCUAAUACAUGCAAGUCGAGCGAACAGAUGAGGAGCUUGCUCCUCUGACGUUAGCGGCGGACGGGUGAGUAACACGUGGAUAACCUACCUAUAAGACUGGGAUAACUUCGGGAAACCGGAGCUAAUACCGGAUAAUAUAUUGAACCGCAUGGUUCAAUAGUGAAAGACGGUUUUGCUGUCACUUAUAGAUGGAUCCGCGCCGCAUUAGCUAGUUGGUAAGGUAACGGCUUACCAAGGCAACGAUGCGUAGCCGACCUGAGAGGGUGAUCGGCCACACUGUAACGGAGACACGGUCCAGACUCCUACGGGAGGCAGCAGUAGGGAAUCUUCCGCAAUGGGCGAAAGCCUGACGGAGCAACGCCGCGUGAGUGAUGAAGGUCUUCGGAUCGUAAAACUCUGUUAUUAGGGAAGAACAAAUGUGUAAGUAACUAUGCACGUCUUGACGGUACCUAAUCAGAAAGCCACGGCUAACUACGUG
This 497-nucleotide ribosomal RNA is filed under the name uncultured bacterium. RNAcentral's name for it is "partial 16S ribosomal RNA". It matches the Rfam family "Bacterial small subunit ribosomal RNA", at positions 28 to 507 of the family's 1533-position model. The record is from RNAcentral.